UUCGACUGAUACGUGGAGGGAUGAGUCAAACGAAGAGAAAAUGUUACAAGAAAGCCCCUCAGACCAUCCUUAUCAAUGGACUCUUACAUACAAUUCUAAACAAUUUUGAUAUACAAAAUAAUGUUUAAAUAUUA
RNAcentral lists this small RNA (134 nucleotides) under Arabidopsis thaliana (thale cress). RNAcentral describes it as "ATSL105570". Lineage: Eukaryota; Viridiplantae; Streptophyta; Magnoliopsida; Brassicales; Brassicaceae. The record is from RNAcentral.